Non-coding RNA from Homo sapiens (human), 159 nucleotides. It matches the Rfam family "Metazoan signal recognition particle RNA". From Rfam's summary of the family: The signal recognition particle (SRP) is a universally conserved ribonucleoprotein. Lineage: Eukaryota; Metazoa; Chordata; Mammalia; Primates; Hominidae. The record is from Rfam.
GCCAGGCAUGGUGACUUGUACCUGUAGUCCUACCUACUUGGGAGGCUGAGGUGGGAGGAUCACCUGAGCCUAUGAGGUCAAGGCUGCAGUAUGUUAUGCUCAUGCCUUUGAGUAACCACUGCUCUCCAGCCUGGGCAACAUAGUGAGAUCCCAUCUUUU